AGAGUUUGAUCCUGGCUCAGAGCGAACGCUGGCGGCAUGCUUAACACAUGCAAGUCGCACGGUCAGCAAUGGCAGUGGCGGACGGGUGAGUAACGCGUAGGAAUCUAUCUCUGGGUGGGGGACAACUGUGGGAAACUACGGCUAAUACCGCAUGAUACCUGAGGGUCAAAGGCGCGAGUCGCCUGGAGAGGAGCCUGCGUCUGAUUAGCUAGUUGGUGGGGUAAAGGCUUACCAAGGCGACGAUCAGUAGCUGGUCUGAGAGGAUGAUCAGCCACAUUGGGACUGAGACACGGCCCAAACUCCUACGGGAGGCAGCAGUGGGGAAUAUUGGACAAUGGGGGCAAGCCUGAUCCAGCAAUGCCGCGUGUGUGAAGAAGGUCUUCGGAUUGUAAA
Molecule: ribosomal RNA, 393 nt
Filed under: uncultured bacterium
Lineage: Bacteria
Description: bacterial SSU rRNA
Rfam family: Bacterial small subunit ribosomal RNA
Source: RNAcentral